RNAcentral lists this ribosomal RNA (924 nucleotides) under uncultured bacterium. Its description in RNAcentral is "bacterial SSU rRNA". It matches the Rfam family "Bacterial small subunit ribosomal RNA", at positions 8 to 920 of the family's 1533-position model. The record is from RNAcentral.
AGAGUUUGAUCCUGGCUCAGAGUGAACGCUGGCGGCAGGCCUAACACAUGCAAGUCGAACGGCAGCACAGAGGAGCUUGCUCCUUGGGUGGCGAGUGGCGGACGGGUGAGGAAUACGUCGGAAUCUGCCUAUUUGUGGGGGAUAACGUAGGGAAACUUACGCUAAUACCGCAUACGACCUACGGGUGAAAGCGGGGGACCGCAAGGCCUCACGCAGAUAGAUGAGCCGACGUCGGAUUAGCUAGUUGGCGGGGUAAAGGCCCACCAAGGCGACGAUCCGUAGCUGGUCUGAGAGGAUGAUCAGCCACACUGGAACUGAGACACGGUCCAGACUCCUACGGGAGGCAGCAGUGGGGAAUAUUGGACAAUGGGCGCAAGCCUGAUCCAGCCAUGCCGCGUGUGUGAAGAAGGCCUUCGGGUUGUAAAGCACUUUUGUCCGGAAAGAAAAGCUUAGGGUUAAUAACCCUGAGUCAUGACGGUACCGGAAGAAUAAGCACCGGCUAACUUCGUGCCAGCAGCCGCGGUAAUACGAAGGGUGCAAGCGUUACUCGGAAUUACUGGGCGUAAAGCGUGCGUAGGUGGUUUGUUAAGUCUGAUGUGAAAGCCCUGGGCUCAACCUGGGAAUGGCAUUGGAAACUGGCUUACUAGAGUGCGGUAGAGGGUAGCGGAAUUCCCGGUGUAGCAGUGAAAUGCGUAGAUAUCGGGAGGAACAUCCGUGGCGAAGGCGGCUACCUGGACCAGCACUGACACUGAGGCACGAAAGCGUGGGAAGCAAACAGGAUUAGAUACCCUGGUAGUCCACGCCCUAAACGAUGCGAACUGGAUGUUGGGGGCAACUUGGCCCUCAGUAUCGAAGCUAACGCAUUAAGUUCGCCGCCUGGGAAGUACGGUCGCAAGACUGAAACUUAAAUGAAUUGACGGGGGC